CCUCAAAAGAGCUCCACAAGCCAUGUCUGUGUUCAAAGGUAAGCAGCAACCCAACUGCCCUGAAUCUGCUCUGUGUGUGUGUGUGUGCGUGAGAAUUUAUUGCAACCUGCAUCCAAUCAAUGUGUCUCCCUGCUUCCAAUUACUGCAUAACGUGUAUCCUGUGUACCUGAGAGUCAAUCAAUCAGUCAAUCAUUCCAGGAGCAGCGGCACAGAAGGACGCUGAGGGAACAGGUAGGCCUUCCCCGGCGCUAACGGGCGCUGGGGUUCCAGGUAGAUCUGCUGCGGCGCUGAGGGACGCUGAGGGUCCACGUAUUCCUGCUGCCGUACAGGCUGGCGCCCGGGAGCCCUGCCGGUCGGCUUACUGUAUAUCACGCUCUCCUUCUCAGCGGGUUCCUUCAGUUGUAUGAUGGCGUGGCCACCGAAGCGCUCGGGGAUGGAGAUGGGUCCGAAGUGCUGCGCAGAGGUCCUGGACGCAGGGAGGUCACGGGCGCCCUGCGCCGGGUUACUGCCGCGCCAGGGGGUUUUGCGGUAGAUCUUACUGCCGGGCCUCUGCUUGGAGAAGCUCGUUGUUCCACUGGCUUCGUUGGACGCCGUAGACUGGCUGUGACGUUGGGGGAUAAAGGUGACGUGGGGCGCUGAAGCAGGCGUGUAGCUUUGUUGGGCUUGUCCUGCCUUCAUAGGGACCUCUGGGUGUUGGUUUCCAGCCUCCGGCCAACUCGGGAUAUUUCCAUUUCUCUCACUUGUUGGUGAGGACAAACGGGUCGGGUUAGAUGCCUCAGAGCCCAGACGCGAAGACACCAGUGUGGCGAACGCGCUGGCCGAUGUCGCCGUGCGACCAGGGAUUUGGUUUAGCAGAGCAGCAUCUAUGUCAGCAUCCAUGUCCAACAGGCUCAACGGAUAGUUGCCAGUACUCGGUGUAUUUGACCAAGUUCCCCUGCUAAUGGUAGUUUGAUGGUGCGUUUCAAAUGAACCACCACCAAUAAGAGCAGUAGAAAGGCCAAAUAUUUGCAGUGGCAUAGUUUCCUGAUUCAAGUUGGGUUUUGACUCAGAGCUGCUCUGCACCAACCCGGCAAAAACGCUGCUUGGUCUCGGAGCU
This is a long non-coding RNA of Gasterosteus aculeatus aculeatus (three-spined stickleback), 1096 nucleotides long. The record is from Ensembl. Lineage: Eukaryota; Metazoa; Chordata; Actinopteri; Perciformes; Gasterosteidae.